UGGGGAAUAUUGCACAAUGGGCGCAAGCCUGAUGCAGCAACGCCGCGUGAGGGACGACGGCCUUCGGGUUGUAAACCUCUUUUAGUAGGGAAGAAGCGAAAGUGACGGUACCUGCAGAAAAAGCACCGGCUAACUACGUGCCAGCAGCCGCGGUAAUACGUAGGGUGCAAGCGUUGUCCGGAAUUAUUGGGCGUAAAGAGCUCGUAGGCGGUUGGUCGCGUCUGCUGUGAAAACCCGAGGCUCAACCUCGGGCCUGCAGUGGGUACGGGCCGACUAGAGUGCGGUAGGGGAGAAUGGAAUUCCUGGUGUAGCGGUGGAAUGCGCAGAUAUCAGGAGGAACACCGAUGGCGAAGGCAGUUCUCUGGGCCGUAACUGACGCUGAGGAGCGAAAGCAUGGGGAGCGAACA
RNAcentral lists this ribosomal RNA (407 nucleotides) under uncultured bacterium. Its description in RNAcentral is "bacterial SSU rRNA". It matches the Rfam family "Bacterial small subunit ribosomal RNA", at positions 355 to 774 of the family's 1533-position model. The record is from RNAcentral. RNAcentral also lists the same sequence under 1 other name.